Molecule: ribosomal RNA, 414 nt
Filed under: Ctenophora environmental sample
Lineage: Eukaryota; Metazoa; Ctenophora
Description: partial Bacterial large subunit ribosomal RNA
Rfam family: Bacterial large subunit ribosomal RNA
Source: RNAcentral
AAGGCGAACGAGGUGAACUGAAACAUCUUAGUAACCUCAGGAAAAGAAAACAAUAGUGAUUUUCUGAGUAGCGGCGAGCGAAAGGGAAAAAGCCUAAACCGAGAAUAUGUUAAAGCCCGAAAGCGUUGUAUAUUCGGUGUUGCGGGGCUUGAUUGGAUGGCGUUUCGGAGCCAUCGGAAAGUUACAAAUUUGGCUUAUAACCGAAGCCUCUGGAAAGGGGAACCAUAGACGGUGAUAGUCCGGUAGGUGAAAUAAAUUAAACUUUCUGAAUCAUGUACCCAAGUACCACGGGACACGUGGAACCCUGUGGGAAUCCGGGAGGACCAUCUCCCAAGGCUAAAUACUACUUGGCAACCGAUAGUGAACUAGUACCGUGACGGAAAGGUGAAAAGAACCCCUGUUAGGGGAAUGAAA